Molecule: long non-coding RNA, 490 nt
Organism: Astatotilapia calliptera (eastern happy)
Lineage: Eukaryota; Metazoa; Chordata; Actinopteri; Cichliformes; Cichlidae
Source: Ensembl
CAUUGCUCCACGAUGAAAAAAGACUAGACACAAAAAUAUAUUUUAAAAUAAUAAUAAUAAUCAAUAAAACUUUGGCAGCAGGCAAAAGCUGACACACGCCUCAGAAUCUGCUCUGAUCAUCAAGAAAAUGAGGAGCUACUCUGAUCAAACACAGUUCUGUGGUGUGGAUUUCUAAUUCUAAGCACAGCUUAAGAUGCUCGCGCUGGACGACUUCGAAAGUUGCCCAACUUUCCCGUCAAUCAUGAGCGCGGAGCAUUUUAUUUUUUCUACUGCAAUUUUUUUAAGCAGCAGCGGUUUCUCUGCUGCAGUCCAAGAAAGCCCAGGGAUGCUGAUGGGAGGAAUAAAUGGAAGACCAGUGAUUAUCAAAGAGGAAAAUAACGUCUUUGAAGCUCUCUACUCUCCACAAACCUGCCUGUGUACUAAUUAUAAGCACUGCUAAUGACAUGUGCGCAUGUGUAGGUGUAAAGAUGCUGUCGAGUGGAUGUGUGAG